RNAcentral lists this ribosomal RNA (374 nucleotides) under uncultured bacterium. Its description in RNAcentral is "bacterial SSU rRNA". It matches the Rfam family "Bacterial small subunit ribosomal RNA", at positions 28 to 402 of the family's 1533-position model. The record is from RNAcentral.
GACGAACGCUGGCGGCGUGCUUAACACAUGCAAGUCGAGCGGUGAACCGGAGCUUGCUCCGGGGAUCAGCGGCGAACGGGUGAGUAACACGUGGGCAACCUGCCCUCAGCUCUGGGAUAACUCCGGGAAACCGGGGCUAAUACCGGAUACGACUUCCUGCGGCAUCACGGGAAGUGGAAAGUUUUUCGGCUGAGGAUGGGGCCCGCGGCCUAUCAGCUUGUUGGUGGGGUAACGGCCCACCAAGGCGACGACGGGUAGCCGGCCUGAGAGGGCGACCGGCCACACUGGGACUGAGACACGGCCCAGACUCCUACGGGAGGCAGCAGUGGGGAAUAUUGCGCAAUGGGCGAAAGCCUGACGCAGCGACGCCGCGU